UCAGCGAGAUGUCAGUGGGCAGUGGCUCAUAGACCAUGUGUGCAAACAUCUCAAUUUAGUUGAAAAGGACUAUUUUGGUUUAAGAUAUGUGGACACAGACAAGCAGAGGCAUUGGGUAGAUCCUCUCAAACCUGCAUACAAGCAACUUAAAAAUGUGAGUCCUCUGGUGCUGUGUUUUAGAGUGAAGUUCUACCCUGCAGAACCUCACAAACUUAAAGAGGAAAUUACAAGGUACGUAGGUGACAGUUCUUUU
Molecule: long non-coding RNA, 253 nt
Organism: Lingula anatina
Lineage: Eukaryota; Metazoa; Brachiopoda; Lingulata; Lingulida; Lingulidae
Source: RefSeq, a predicted model, not a curated record